GUGCCAGCCGCCGCGGUAAGACGUAGGGGGCAAGCGUUGUCCGGAAUUACUGGGCGUAAAGGGCACGCAGGCGGUGCGCCAAGUCGAGGGUGUAAAGUUACGGCUCAACCGUGACAUUGCAAUCGAUACUGGCGCGCUGGAGUGCGGGAGAGGGAAGUGGAAUUCCCGGUGUAGCGGUGAAAUGCGUAGAUAUCGGGAGGAACGCCAGUGGCGAAGGCGGCUUCCUGGCCCGCGACUGACGCUCAUGUGCGAAAGCCAGGGGAGCGAACCGGAUUAGAUACCCGGGUAGUCCUGGCCGUAAACGAUGGGUGCUAGGUGUAGGCGCGUCAAGCGUCUGUGCCGAAGUUAACGCGAUAAGCACCUCGCCUGGGGAGUACGGUCGCAAGGCUGAA
This 392-nucleotide ribosomal RNA is filed under the name uncultured bacterium. RNAcentral describes it as "bacterial SSU rRNA". It matches the Rfam family "Bacterial small subunit ribosomal RNA", at positions 505 to 898 of the family's 1533-position model. The record is from RNAcentral.